Molecule: ribosomal RNA, 636 nt
Filed under: uncultured fungus
Lineage: Eukaryota; Fungi
Description: eukaryotic LSU rRNA
Rfam family: 5.8S ribosomal RNA (bases 235-389)
Source: RNAcentral
CUUGGUCAUUUAGAGGAAGUAAAAGUCGUAACAAGGUUUCCGUAGGUGAACCUGCGGAAGGAUCAUUAUUGAAUUAGCGAGGGCUGUCUGCUGGCCCCUUCGGGGGCAUGUGCACGUCCGAGCCGUUUAAAUCAACACCUGUGAACUCACCGUAGGCCUUCGGCUUAUGUAUCAUAUAUAUAUAUACUCAGAUCAUAGAAUGUACAUUUUGCCUUUAAAAAAGCAAUCAAAUACAACUUUCAACAACGGAUCUCUUGGCUCUCGCAUCGAUGAAGAACGCAGCGAAAUGCGAUAAGUAAUGUGAAUUGCAGAUUUUCUGUGAAUCAUCGAAUCUUUGAACGCACCUUGCGCUCCUUGGUAUUCCGAGGAGCAUGCCUGUUUGAGUGUCAUUAAAUCCUCAACCCCGUCCGUCGGUCGGGGCUUGGACUUUGGAGCGUGCUGGCGAAGGUCGGCUCCUCUUUAAAUGCAUCAGCGGAGAAAAACAAACCUUUUUUCCCCCUUCAGCGUGAUAACUGUGUUGCGCUGUGGUCGCGAAAGGGUCCGCUCAUAAUCGUCCUCGGACAAACACCGAAUCUGUUUUGACCUCAGAUCAGGUAGGACUACCCGCUGAACUUAAGCAUAUCAAUAAGCGGAGGA